RNAcentral lists this ribosomal RNA (253 nucleotides) under uncultured bacterium. RNAcentral's name for it is "partial 16S ribosomal RNA". It matches the Rfam family "Bacterial small subunit ribosomal RNA", at positions 524 to 776 of the family's 1533-position model. The record is from RNAcentral.
UACGGGGGGGGCAAGCGUUGUUCGGAAUUACUGGGCGUAAAGGGUUUGUAGGUGGCCAACUAAGUCAGACGUGAAAUCCCUCAGCUUAACUGGGGAACUGCGUCUGAGACUGGAUGGCUCGAGUGCAGGAGAGGAACGCGGAAUUCCAGGUGUAGCGGUGAAAUGCGUAGAUAUUGGGAAGAACACCAGUGGCGAAGGCGGCUAACUGGUCCAGCACUGACGCUGAGGUGCGAAAGCGUGGGGAGCAAACAGG